This is an RNA transcript of Myxocyprinus asiaticus (Chinese sucker), 7698 nucleotides long. It is a transcript of the gene named dynamin 1a, with no coding region annotated. The transcript has 25 exons. Lineage: Eukaryota; Metazoa; Chordata; Actinopteri; Cypriniformes; Catostomidae. The record is from RefSeq and is a predicted model, not a curated record.
GAGAGAGAGAGAGAGAGAGAGAGAGAGAGAGCUCCAGAAAAAUCGAUAAAUGCGGCUGAAAUAAACCAUCAAGCACCCGCUGAAACGCCCUGAUAUUAGUGACAGGGUGACCGGGAGGUAUCCGUCUUUUAUUCGGUGACAGAGCUCGAGCAGGUGCCGGUAGUCAAGAUGGGGAACCGGGGGAUGGAGGAUCUGAUUCCUCUGGUGAACCGAAUGCAAGACGCGUUCUCCGCCAUCGGACAGAACGCCGAUCUGGACCUGCCGCAGAUCGCGGUGGUGGGCGGACAGAGCGCCGGGAAGAGCUCCGUGCUCGAGAACUUCGUGGGGAGGGACUUCCUCCCUCGUGGAUCUGGGAUCGUCACCCGUCGUCCCCUGGUCCUGCAGCUCAUCAACUGCCCCACAGAAUAUGCCGAGUUUCUUCACUGUAAGGGGAAGAAGUUUACAGAUUUCGAUGAGAUCCGUCAGGAAAUCGAGGCGGAGACGGAUCGUGUGACGGGGCAGAACAAAGGCAUCUCGCCGGUGCCGAUCAACCUGCGUGUCUACUCACCAAAUGUGUUGAAUCUGACUUUGGUGGAUCUGCCGGGAAUGACUAAAGUUCCUGUGGGCGAUCAGCCCGCUGAUAUUGAGCAUCAGAUCAGAGAUAUGAUCAUGCAGUUUGUGACUAAAGAGAACUGUCUGUUGCUCGCAGUGUCGCCCGCAAACUCUGAUCUCGCCAACUCUGAUGCACUGAAGAUCGCCAAAGAAGUCGACCCGCAGGGUCAGCGUACUAUCGGUGUGAUCACUAAGCUGGAUCUGAUGGAUGAAGGAACCGACGCACGUGACAUCCUGGAAAACAAACUGCUGCCGCUGCGGAGAGGUUACAUUGGUGUGGUGAACCGCAGUCAGAAAGACAUUGAUGGGAAGAAAGAUAUUAACGCUGCGAUGGCGGCAGAGAGAAAGUUCUUCCUGUCUCAUCCCAGUUACAGACACCUGGCCGAUCGCAUGGGAACACCGUACCUGCAGAAAGUCCUCAACCAGCAACUGACCAAUCACAUCCGCGACACGCUGCCCGGGCUGCGCGCAAAACUGCAGAGUCAGCUGCUGUCCAUCGAGAAGGAAGUGGAAGAGUACAAGAACUUCCGUCCAGACGAUCCGUCCCGGAAGACCAAAGCCCUGCUACAAAUGGUUCAGCAGUUCUCUGUGGACUUUGACAAGCGUAUCGAGGGUUCUGGAGAUCAGAUCGACACGUAUGAGCUCUCAGGAGGAGCCAGAAUCAACCGCAUCUUCCAUGAACGAUUUCCAUUCGAGCUGGUGAAGAUGGAGUUUGAUGAGAAGGAGCUGCGUAAGGAGAUCAGUUACGCCAUCAAGAACAUUCACGGCAUCAGAACCGGCCUCUUCACGCCCGACAUGGCCUUUGAGACCAUAGUGAAACGGCAGAUCUCCAAGAUUAAAGAGCCGUGCCAGAAAUGUGUGGACAUGGUCAUUUCUGAGCUUGUCAAUACUGUUAGGCAGUGUACCAAGAAGCUGGCGCAGUAUCCCCUGCUGAGAGAAGAAAUGGAGCGAAUUGUCACACAGCACAUCCGCGACCGCGAGAGCCGCACUAAAGAACAGGUGUUGCUGUUGAUUGACAUCGAGCUGGCAUACAUGAACACCAAUCAUGAAGACUUCAUCGGAUUUGCCAAUGCUCAACAGAGAAGCAAUCAAAUGAGCAAGAAGAAAGCAGCUGGCAAUCAGGAUGAAAUCAUGGUGAUCAGGAAGGGCUGGCUGACCAUCAACAACAUCGGCAUCAUGAAGGGCGGAGCUAAAGAGUAUUGGUUUGUCCUGACGGCCGAAUCGCUGUCCUGGUACAAGGAUGAUGAGGAGAAGGAGAAGAAGUACAUGCUGCAGGUGGAUAAUCUGAAGCUCAGAGAUGUGGAGAAAGGCUUCAUGUCCAGCAAACACAUCUUUGCCCUGUUCAACACUGAGCAGAGGAACGUGUAUAAGGACUACCGUCAGCUGGAGUUGGCGUGUGAAAGUCAGGAGGACGUGGAUGGAUGGAAGGCCUCAUUCCUGCGUGCUGGCGUUUACCCUGAAAGAGUGGUGGAGAAGGAGAAGAGUGACACUAGUGAAGAGAACGGUUCGGAUGGUUUCAUGCACUCUAUGGAUCCUCAGUUGGAGCGGCAGGUGGAGACCAUCCGUAACCUGGUGGACUCUUACAUGGCCAUCGUCAACAAGACCGUGCGAGAUCUGAUGCCCAAAACCAUCAUGCAUCUGAUGAUCAUUAAUACGAAAGAGUUCAUUAAUGCGGAGCUGUUAGCGCAGUUGUACUCGUGCAGCGAUCAGAACACACUGAUGGAGGAGUCCGCCGAACAGGCGCAGCGGCGCGAUGAGAUGUUGCGCAUGUACUUCGCCCUUAAAGAAGCGCUCAACAUCAUCGGUGACAUCAGCACCACCACCGUCUCCACGGCACUGCCGCCACCUGUAGAUGACUCCUGGCUGCAGGUGCAACGUACAGGCUCAGGGGGACGGUCUCCCGCCACCAGCCCGACCCCUCAGAGACGAGCUCCUCCUCCAGGGCCUCCAGGACGCCCAGGAUCUCGCGGCUCUGCCCCGGGCCCCCCUGCUGUAGGUGGACCGCCUGUUCCCUCUCGCCCGGGGGCCUCUCCGGACCCCUCCAGCGGGCCACCCCCUCAGGUCCCAUCCCGGCCUAACCGCGCUCCCCCCAGCGUGCCCAGCCGCGGAAUGUGAGACGCUAACCAGUGGAAUAAGUGCAUUGUUGUGGAAUCACAAUCAGUGAUCAAUGAGGACUGACUCUUCUGCCGACGACCCCCGCCAUCACCUUCUCGACCCAACAGACCCACAGACUCCUCCCUCUUAGACUAUUAGCUCCUCCCAUACCUGUGACAGACAGCGAGGACAGACACACCCACCCAUCCAGAACUCCUCCCCCUUCCUGCUUCUCAUCUUACACACUCAAAUACACACUCUAGACAGCACAACAACUCUAGAACUGUGUAACUUAUUAUUCGGAGAAUUAUUUCAGUUUUUAUCGUAACUUACAUUUGGUCGUUCUCAUGCAACAUCUACAAGCAAACAUGCCGACUUCAUCAGCUGCUGUAUGUUCCUUCAAAUCAUAUCUAACACAUGCCAUGCAUAAGGAAUGUUUAUGAACACAAACCAUAAACUGACUAAAAAUAAGCUGGCAAGAAAGCAUUAAGAGGGUGAAAAAGAGGGUUUGAUAAAUGCUUUUCUCUCCGAUUUCUGUUGCUUUAUUAUCUGUCAUCUUUUACUUUAUUCCCUGCAGUGUGAACGGUGCAUAACAGAUGCACACUCUCUCAAUCAGAUGCAUUAUCUCUCCUGGGUGUUCGCUGGAGUUCUCACGAUAACUGCAUCUCUGGAAUGUGCUUGUUUAUUUGUAUUCCUCUACAUUAUUUUUGCCUCUUUUUGUUUUUGUGUUGUGUUUCGGCUGCAGCGCUCCCUGAACUCACUGGCCAGAAGACGACACCAAACGCCCAUGAAGGCCGGCCAAACAAGGGUGACCCCUCUCACCCCGAGAGCUUUAGCAUCUCCUCAUCACUUCUCCUCUACUUUCUGCUUCUCUUUUUUUCUCUCAUCUCACCCUGAACUGAGUAAAACAACCCAGAACCCACCAGCACAACAGAACCACCCUGAACACUGGACAACAGCGUGAAAGAACAUAAAGGAACCGGCAAACCUUUCUGAUGUUCUCUGCAUCUUCUUUCCUGCAUCAGCGGUGGAGAAGUGCAUUCCAUCAGUUGCCCGCUCAUGGUGUCUCUUAUUCGGUUUAACGUUCCUCAACAUUCAAGCCCAUUGUGAUAGUCCACAACCCUCAAACCCAUUAUGAAUCAUGUUAUCCAACGGUUCCCAAACAUGUUCCUGGAGUCUCCCUUAUCUGACACAGUCAUUUCGGGUCAUGGAGGCUCCACUAAUGAGCUGAUGAGUUCAGUCAGGUGGGUUUGAGUAUGGGAGACAUCUACAUUGUGUUUGGAAACCGCCAUUUAUUCUCGUUAGAUGUUAUAACGAUGUGAUUAAAAGCGUUCAGGUACAGAAUGAGGAUGUGUGUUCACUCUAUGGUAAGCCCUUUCGACAUUUAAUCACAAGAAAUCGACAAUAUUAAAGUGAAAUAUGUUAGUUAAAAUGCUCAUUCUUGAUAUCAGCAAUGGAAAUACAAAUUGAAGUGUUUAUUUCUACAAAAACGACAUCAAUACUCUCAGAAAUUACCAUUCUUUAUAUCAAAAAACAAUUCUUGAUAACCUAUCUGUAACUGCAUUUUCACUAUUAGAUAGGAGUCAUUCACUCCUAUUCAAAACGCAAUUACAGAUAUAUAAAAUUAUAAGAAUAUUUAACCUAUUUCUUUAAGAUUUACGCAUUCUAAUUUCAUAACAAAAUUCCAUCAAAUUGAAUUGUGUGAUUUUCUUUCAAAAUUACAUCAAUAAAACUUUAAAUAUUUGUGUUAAUGCCAACAGCAUACAUUUUGCCAAAGGUGUGUAUUUUGGGGGGAAUUUUGAUAUUUCAACCUCAGUUCCUAUAAUACAUCUAUAAUACACUAUGUACACAAAAUAGUUCCACUCACGACCUUCAGGACAAAAAUGUCCCCAUUGAAACCCAUUAAAACUGCAAUAUUUGAUCCCAGUGCCAUUAAAGCAUAAAAUCAUGAAUUCUAUGAUAUUAUGCUUUCAUUCCGGAGCCCUGGCUUCAAAAUUUACAUUUGUAAUAUUUUCCACCAGAUGGCGCCAUUUUUCACAUGUUUAGCCUAUGGAGCAAAUACAUGCUUUUCCCCUAUUUUCUGUUUGCUGUAUUAUAGAGCACUGCAGGACAAUUGAAUAAAUGAUGCAGAUAAAAUUGUGUGUGUGUGUUGGUAUGAAUGUCAGAGUGUGUAUGUGUGUAUUGAGAAAUGUGUGUUUGUCUAAAAAACAACAGUGGCAUUAUGUAAACAAACUGGCAUUUAAAGGGUUAAAAUCCUGAAAAUGAAUGAAUAUUUGGUAGUUAUGAUCAGGACUGAUGUUGGUUAAACAAUCUAAGUCAGUGAAAGUGGAAAAUAAUAUUCAUAUAUAAUAUUAUUAUGGCAGUUUUUUGACGCAGACAUUUUUGUCCUCCAAGGACCUCCGAGUAACUUUUUUUUAUUGACGCACAAGGGUUAAAGUUUACUCUAUUCAAUCUGGGGGGAGGGGGUGGGGUGUUGGUGCGAAGGUGCAGUGAGAAAGUGCGAGCGCAAGGCAAUCAACUGUGUUGCUACUGGGUCCUUGAAAAAUGUAUAACACGCGAGUAAAGGCACCCGCUGGAGUUCCUGGUGCCCCCCGAGGGAGUUGGUGCAGGGAGCAGCGGUACUGCAGAUAUCUAAAAUACCAAAUCUAACAUGUUGAAAUAAAUUUACACAUAUUUGUAACUUAACUGUUGAUAUUUGAUAUAUACAAAAAGGAUUAUUUUUACUAGUAAGACGUGCAUUGUUAAUAUGCUAAAUUAGAAUUUCAACUAGUACGAAAUUAAUGAUAAAUACCUGUAAUUGCGUUUUGAACAGGAGCGAAAUUAUGAAAUUAUAUUAGUGACAAUGCAGUUGCAGAUAUAAAAAUGAUUUGAAAUUCCUUUUUUUAUAUAAAGAAUUAACGCUUUAUACUAGUGCAAAUGUAAUUCCUAAUGUCAAAAAUUUGCAAUUAGUGUAAAUCAAAUCCUGCACAGGAUUAAAUGUCAAUUUGGCUUGCCAUAUUCACCCUCUCUGAGUGAGUUCAGAAAACAUAUAGUGAAAUCAGUUGCUUUAGCGAGGCUGGAUUGAACUGAAGAGUGCAAUAUAAAUACAUUGAUCAGUCGUAUUUACACGCUGAUCACCAAUUCAUGACAUUUAAAACAUAAUAGAGCAGUGUUUGGGUGAACAGACAUUCUCAAGUUGUGUGUUUAUAGAAAUUGUUGAUUUCAUUUAAUGUAAAGUGAAUAGUCUGUGUGAUACUAAUAAUUAUUGAGCAUUCAGGCCCCUCACAUUCACUGUAUGGCAAAUUCAGACUUUAUAACAUGUGUGUAUUUAUCGCAUCAGUCACAGGUUAGUCUGGUUAUCCACACACAGGCUGUGUUUAGAAUGGAAUAAGCUACUAGCAUACUGCGCAGUAUAUACUAUUUUUAAAAAGUAGUAUGUGAAACAGUAUGCAUUAUCCAAUGCUAAACAUUUCAGGCAGUGUAUGCUGUUCCUAACACAGAUUGGAUUAAAUAAUUUGUAAACGAUUUCACCGUUUUGCGAACUUUUACGUCACAUACGCAUUAAUCUGUUAACUCCGUUUUCAGUUUCCUAACGUCAUCGUUUUUCAAAGUAUGUGGCAGUGGAGGAAACUCCAUUCUAGUGUGAACGAGAGGCAUAAACGUUGCUAAAUGAAUGCAUUUUCUAACGAAAACAGAUUAAGCCACGCCCACGUUUGAAAAUGCAUUCAUUUUGCAACAUUUACCCAUGAAAACAGCAUUUCGAAAACACUAUAUGACCUCAUACUUUGGAAAAUGAUGACGUUAGGAAACGGAAACGGAUUAGUGUGGACGUGGGCUUUUGUCUUUGAAACAGACCACGCCCCCAUUACUUCAGCCACACCUCUCUUUCCAAAACCCCGCCCUCCAGUGACAUCAGCCAGCCCAGUAUCAGCAAAACCGAACGCACAAAAUGAUCGACAGUUAUUGUUUUCUGAUAGAUAUGUAAAUAAUUGUAGCCACUGUUAAAAUACAUUUUAAUACUUUCGCCUAUUCAGAGUUCAAAUUCAAAAUCGUUAAAAUAAAGAACCUUUAUACUCGACACUAAUGCGGUCGACUUUAUCUCUGUGUGUGGAUAAACCGUUCCGGUACGAGAUGUGCAUUAAAAAUAUGCAAGUCAAUUUCAAAUCUGAUUUUACUUGUUUGUUUGUGAUCAAGAUUUAGCAAAUGAAUAAAUAUCACUGCUGGUCUAUGCAUAGAAAUCCAUAAAGUUUGUUCAGAUGUCGUUUGUUUUGCUGAUAGUGAGAAAAUAUAAGCGCAACCCUCCACACCAGUGAACUGUAUUUCGUUGUUUGUUGUAAUAAUUACUGUACUCAAGGGUGGAGAUUGGGCUUGAACACUGGGGGGGUUACAGUGUGAAGAAUGUACAUGUUUCCAUGGGGGGGGGGUUGUACUUGCUUGUUUUUAUUAUUGGAGGAAGGGGUUACCUCCCCCCCACCCCCCCUGGAAUCUACGCCCCUGACUAUACUGAUAAUAUAAAUAAUAAUGCCCCUGUUGGUAGUUCACAUUGUGGCAUGACAAAACCUGUCUGCGGUUGCAACUGUGCCGUAUCAGUAGUAUGUUUCUGUAUAUUUAUCUUCACUACUAUACACGCAAAAUCUUUCCUGACCGCACUGAAUUCCCUCCGAGUCUUAGUAAAACCCAAUAAUGAGAGAACAAGUACCGUUAUUUAAGAGUAAACCAUUAAUCAUGGACAUAUCUUAAGUGUGUUACGUGUCUUUGUGGUGCAUUAAAUGCAAAUUGUGCUUCCACUGUUUAGAGAAUAGUGUAGUCCACAUGUACUGAAUAUUAAAGUGAUUUAUUUAAAUUAAAUGUGUAAUAAUGUGCAUACAAAUAAUGGUGUGGUGCAAACUGGGCCUCUUUCUGUGUUUGGAAAGAAAGGUGUAAUGAGACUGGGUGUGUAACAGGUGACAGAAUGAGUGUGUGUAUUAAUGUGUCCUGCUGUUGAUUGGACGAGAUUGUCGAGCAGGACUUUGUCAUCAAUAAAGUUAAGUGUAC